UGGCAUGGAUCUGCAAGGAAGAUGAAGAAGAUAACCUUUUCCUGUCCGGCAAUAAAUGCAUGGAUUAGGAAAGAUCUGAAGGGAAUAAAUUAAAUAAUAGUCACUCUAAAUUUGCACAAACCCCAGUGAGUUGCAGCGAGUGUACAGGCGCCUCAUAAUGCUUCUGGCGGAUCUAGAGAGAGAGAGAGAGAGAGAGAUGAAUGACAGAGGAAUGAAAAGUAAUUAUCUAGGUUAUUACUACUUUCAGAAGAUGCUGCACCUGAACGCAUGGUGAACCAGUCAACGUCCAAAACUGGAUAACACCCCAUUAUGAACAAGCUUCGUAGUGGGUGCUGAUUCUUCUGCCAAGAAUGAUUCACGGUAAGCGUCAGAAGACGAUUCUCAUCAAAUAUAAAUAAUAAAAUCUAAACCCAUCCAGAGACCGAGAGCAGAACACGAGCAAAUCAUGAGCUGGCGGCAAGCAAGAAGGGAUAGAGUCAACGAAUCGCCAAACUUAGUCGUAUUACGUUGCAAGUGGAGUCCCCCGCCCCUCCCUACUGAGACCCAGGGAGCAGUAAUAAGUCAACCAUUGCAGUAAAAAGGAAAAAGAUGAACAAAAAAAUUAGUGUGAAAUAGCAAUAUUUGUCGUAAAGGGAUCCUUUCAAGGAGUAAUGAUCUUGACGGCCUGGGACUGAGGAACACAAGAAUGGUGCGAUGCCUGCCUAUAGAACCCCUGGCACUUUUGAUAGCCCACCGGAUUCCCCCGUCAAAUUAUUAUUUCACAUAAAAAUGAAUAUUUUCUCAUACAGGAGCUUCUUUUUCUCCUACGUAUAUCUUAUAACUUCGAUUUAGAAUUGUUCUCAAAUGGGUAUACAACCUUAAAUGGAAAUUCCGAAAAUAUUUGAGAACACGAGACUAAACAGGAUGCAAAAAAGAGGCACAACACAGUAUGAUGUUCACCAGCAACUAAACAGAAUAUUCUAGACCAGAAAUGACGCCCAAACAAAGAGCAUUUUCUCUUUGGUUUCAUGAUCCUCAGCUUGAGUUUUUUUUAUAAUUACGGGUCCAUUAUUUAAAAAAAUACUCAAGGACGUAUAGUCAACGAAUGAACAGUUUCUAUAAUUAGUCAGUAUGUACCUUAUGUGUGUCACCGUAACUGUCGGACGUAAGUCCAACUGAUCGGAUCCCCUUCUUGUGAUCAUUUGGCCAUCACAUGAGACAUAAUUCUUUCUCACGACCUUGGCAAAAACCAGUCUUUCCCAGUCACUGACUUCGAGACCACCAUAUGAAGAUCAUUACUCUGCAGCCCUUCCAUUUCAAGUAACUUGAUCAACGUCCUCAUAAAAAUGGUUAGCUCAGAUGGAAGAUGCAUCGCAUUCAAAUGUGGGACGAAUUAUAUCAACAGAAACUUCUUCCCAGCAGAUUGAAAGCAAUCUUAAUGCCUUCAGGAGUAGCAUAAGCCCUCUAAAUCACUGACCCGAAAGUUUCUAAAU
RNAcentral lists this long non-coding RNA (1472 nucleotides) under Spirodela polyrhiza (greater duckweed). RNAcentral describes it as "long non-coding RNA (SPOL_LNC002005)". The record is from RNAcentral. Lineage: Eukaryota; Viridiplantae; Streptophyta; Magnoliopsida; Alismatales; Araceae.